This 429-nucleotide long non-coding RNA is filed under the name Coffea arabica (coffee). Its description in RNAcentral is "long non-coding RNA (CARA_LNC004027)". Lineage: Eukaryota; Viridiplantae; Streptophyta; Magnoliopsida; Gentianales; Rubiaceae. The record is from RNAcentral.
GCGGGUGGUUGUCAAACCUCUCCUCUUCCCUCUCGUACUUUUCGUCCCAUCCCGUUGCGCAUGAACCUCGUUGGUAGUAAUGGUUGUCAUGGAUGCCAUGAGAGGGCUUUUUUCCUCAUGAUAAAUUGUGCUCAAGUUCUGGGGUUAUUUGAAAUUUUGAAUUAGCAUUGUUGCGCAGAAAAUUGGCAGGUCAAGAUAAGUCGGUUAGACUUCUUGUUUGUUUGUUUCAAUUUCAAACUUUGUUCCAUGUAUAAUGAUGCAAUUCAAUUUAAAUUCAACUCCUCCAUAUAUAUGCAGGAUUGUUUUGGCAUAAUCAAAUGGACAAUAAGAUUGCGAGCUCUUCACACUGUCCUGUCGUUCAAGUUGGUUAACCUACAACUCAGUCGGGCCGGACUUUUUUGAUUCCAACUAUUCUAUUACUCGAUUUGU